AGAAGACUGGUGUAAUUAGGUAACACGCUCGAGUUGAUCGAGAAUUCUGGGUUCGAUUCCCAAGGUCUUUUA
RNAcentral lists this transfer RNA (72 nucleotides) under Caudoviricetes sp. RNAcentral describes it as "tRNA-Gln". It matches the Rfam family "tRNA". From Rfam's summary of the family: Transfer RNA (tRNA) molecules are approximately 80 nucleotides in length. Their secondary structure includes four short double-helical elements and three loops (D, anti-codon, and T loops). The record is from RNAcentral. Lineage: Duplodnaviria; Heunggongvirae; Uroviricota; Caudoviricetes.